UUUACCAUGUGCCCAGGUCACGGGCCUUUCUCCCAUCUGUUUCAUGGGAAGUUCCUCCCUGAAGUGGACCCUGAGAGAAAUUGGAAGCAUGAGAUGGCCUCCGUGCAGAUGUUUGAUUACUUGCUCCAGGAGAACUAUCUGCCACCAGUGAUGGAGCAACAUGGGCUGAUUUUGCCUGAGGAUCUUGAUUUCAUUAAAGAGUUGAUCACUGGCCCACUAGAGCAGCAUAUCCAAUUCAGCCAAGAACAGCCCACAUGGCUAUAUAAAGGCAGGUCAGAAGAAAAGUGCUUUCUGUAUGAGAUUGUGGCGAACAAGAGGACUGGCAUUGAUGUGGACAAAUAGGACUAUUUUGCCAGGUAUGAGUGAGACUGCUCCACCAGGUAUGAGUUAGACUGCUCCACCAGGUAUGAGUGAGGCUGUUCCACCAGGUAUGAGUGAGGCUGUUCCACCAGGUAUGAGUGAGACUGUUCCACCAGGUAAGAGUGAGGCUGUUCCACCAGGUAUGAGUGAGACUUUUCUGCCUGGUGAAA
Anguilla rostrata (American eel) is the source of this 530-nucleotide long non-coding RNA. RefSeq lists it as uncharacterized. Lineage: Eukaryota; Metazoa; Chordata; Actinopteri; Anguilliformes; Anguillidae. The transcript has 3 exons. The record is from RefSeq and is a predicted model, not a curated record.